RNAcentral lists this ribosomal RNA (333 nucleotides) under uncultured bacterium. RNAcentral's name for it is "bacterial SSU rRNA". It matches the Rfam family "Bacterial small subunit ribosomal RNA", at positions 32 to 359 of the family's 1533-position model. The record is from RNAcentral.
AAUCAACGCUGGCGGCGUGCCUCAGACAUGCAAGUCGAACGAUUAAAGCUCUCUUCGGAGAGUGUAUAAAGUGGCGCACGGGUGAGUAACACGUAAGUAAUCUACCUUCGAGUGGGGAAUAACGUCCGGAACGGACGCUAAUACCGCAUAAUGCAGCGGCAUCGCAAGAUGACAGUUGUUAAAGAUUUAUCGCUUGAAGAGGAGCUUGCGGCAGAUAGCUAGUUGGUAAGGUAAUGGCUUACCAAGGCUACGAUCUGUAACCGGUCUAAGAGGACGGUCGGUCACACUGACACUGAAUAACGGGUCAGACUCCUACGGGAGGCAGCAGUCGGG